Molecule: ribosomal RNA, 526 nt
Filed under: uncultured bacterium
Lineage: Bacteria
Description: bacterial SSU rRNA
Rfam family: Bacterial small subunit ribosomal RNA
Source: RNAcentral
AGUGAACGCUGGCGGCGUGCCUAACACAUGCAAGUCGAACGGGCUAGUGCUUCGCACUAGUCUCUUUCUGGGGUUGUUACUCUAAGGCUACCUGCUAAAGUUAUUGCUUUAAAGCAGGGGUUUUAGGAGACUUUCCCCGAAAGGGGCCAGUGCGGAGCACUGGCCAGUGGCGAACGGGUGAGUAACACGUGGGUAAUCUACCCUCGAGUGGGGAAUAAGCUUCCGAAAGGGGGUCUAAUGCCGCAUAACGUUUCAUAACGAUGGUUAUGAAACCAAAGCCCAAAAGGCGCUCGAGGAGGAGCCUGCGUCCUAUCAGCUUGUUGGCAGGGUAAUGGCCUACCAAGGCUAUGACGGGUAGCCGGCCUGAGAGGGUGUCCGGCCACACUGGAACUGAGACACGGUCCAGACUCCUACGGGAGGCAGCAGUGGGGAAUUUUGCGCAAUGGGGAAACCCUGACGCAGCGACGCCGCGUGGAGGAUGACGGCCUCGGUUGUAACUCCUAGUCUAGAGGACGAAGUACCGACG